RNAcentral lists this ribosomal RNA (309 nucleotides) under uncultured eukaryote. Its description in RNAcentral is "partial 18S ribosomal RNA". It matches the Rfam family "Eukaryotic small subunit ribosomal RNA", at positions 1470 to 1796 of the family's 1831-position model. The record is from RNAcentral.
CCCUUAGAUGUUCUGGGCGGCCCGCGCACUACACUGGCACUCUCAAUCAGAGCCUGGAUCUAACACUUUGGGGUAUUCUAUGAAGUGGUGUCGUGACUGGGAUUAACCCUUGCAAUUAUUGGUUACGAACGAGGAAUUCCUUGUAAUCGCGGUUUAUCAGCCCGCGUUGAAUGCGUCCCUGCCCUUUGUACACACCGCCCGUCGCUCCUACCGAUGGAUCGUCCGGUGAAGCUCAUGGAGGGGCGGUUGCCUCAGCUGCCGUCGAAGUGAAAUGGACCUCACGAUCUAGAGGAAGGAGAAGUCGUAACA